RNAcentral lists this ribosomal RNA (439 nucleotides) under uncultured bacterium. RNAcentral describes it as "partial 16S ribosomal RNA". It matches the Rfam family "Bacterial small subunit ribosomal RNA", at positions 339 to 795 of the family's 1533-position model. The record is from RNAcentral.
CUACGGGUCGCAGCAGUGAGGAAUAUUGCACAAUGGGGGGAACCCUGAUGCAGCAACGCCGCGUGGAGGAUGACGCAUUUCGGUGUGUAAACUCCUUUUAUAUGUCAAGAAAAUGACGGUAGCAUAUGAAUAAGCACCGGCUAACUCCGUGCCAGCAGCCGCGGUAAUACGGAGGGUGCAAGCGUUACUCGGAAUCACUGGGCGUAAAGGACGCGUAGGCGGGUUGGAAAGUCAGGUGUGAAAUCCUACAGCUUAACUGUAGAACUGCACUUGAAACUUCUAAUCUAGAGUAUGGGAGGGGGAGAGGGAAUUAGUGGUGUAGGGGUAAAAUCCGUAGAUAUCACUAGGAAUACCUAAAGCGAAGGCGAUCUGCUGGAACAUUACUGACGCUAAGGCGUGAAAGCGUGGGGAGCAAACAGGAUUAGAUACCCGAGUAGUC